RNAcentral lists this ribosomal RNA (449 nucleotides) under uncultured bacterium. RNAcentral describes it as "bacterial SSU rRNA". It matches the Rfam family "Bacterial small subunit ribosomal RNA", at positions 355 to 796 of the family's 1533-position model. The record is from RNAcentral.
UGGGGAAUUUUGGACAAUGGGGGCAACCCUGAUCCAGCAAUGCCGCGUGUGUGAAGAAGGCCUGAGGGUUGUAAAGCACUUUAGGUGGGGAGGAAGGCGUAUAGUUUAAUAAACUAUACGAUUGACGUUACCCACAGAAUAAGCACCGGCUAACUCUGUGCCAGCAGCCGCGGUAAUACAGAGGGUGCAAGCGUUAAUCGGAAUUAUUGGGCGUAAAGCGCAUGUAGGUGGCAUAUUAAGUCUGAUGUGAAAGCCCUGGGCUCAACCUGGGAAUUGCGUUGGAAACUGAUAAGCUAGAGUCGGACAGAGGGCCGUGGAAUUUCCGGUGUAGCAGUGAAAUGCGUAGAGAUCGGAAAGAACACCAGUGGCGAAGGCGGCGGCCUGGGUCCAGACUGACACUGAGAUGCGAAAGCAUGGGGAGCAAACAGGAUUAGAUACCCCGGUAGUCC